CACGUAGGGGGCAAGCGUUGUCCGGAUUUAUUGGGCGUAAAGAGCUCGUAGGCGGUUCGGCAAGUCGGGUGUGAAACCCCCAGGCUCAACCUGGGGACGCCACUCGAUACUGCUGUGACUUGAGUCCGGUAGGGGAGCGUGGAAUUCCUGGUGUAGCGGUGAAAUGCGCAGAUAUCAGGAGGAACACCAGCGGCGAAGGCGGCGCUCUGGGCCGGAACUGACGCUGAGGAGCGAAAGCGUGGGUAGCAAACAGG
RNAcentral lists this ribosomal RNA (254 nucleotides) under uncultured bacterium. RNAcentral's name for it is "partial 16S ribosomal RNA". It matches the Rfam family "Bacterial small subunit ribosomal RNA", at positions 524 to 776 of the family's 1533-position model. The record is from RNAcentral.